RNAcentral lists this RNase P RNA (312 nucleotides) under Leptospira wolffii serovar Khorat str. Khorat-H2. RNAcentral describes it as "Bacterial RNase P class A". It matches the Rfam family "Bacterial RNase P class A", at positions 43 to 351 of the family's 367-position model. From Rfam's summary of the family: Ribonuclease P (RNase P) is a ubiquitous endoribonuclease, found in archaea, bacteria and eukarya as well as chloroplasts and mitochondria. Its best characterised activity is the generation of mature 5'-ends of tRNAs by cleaving the 5'-leader elements of precursor-tRNAs. The record is from RNAcentral. Lineage: Bacteria; Pseudomonadati; Spirochaetota; Leptospiria; Leptospirales; Leptospiraceae.
GAGGAAAGUCCGGACACCAUGGAAUCACGGGACCGGGUAAUUCCCGGAGUCCGGAAUCGAAAGAGACCGGAUAUGGAAAGUGCAACAGAAAGGAUACCGCCUCUUUUGAGGUAAGGGUGAAAUGGCGGGGUAAGAGCCCACCGCCGCUUUUGCAAGAAAGCGGGCAAGGUAAACCCUCCCGGGUGCAAUCUCGAAUAGGCGACCGUUUUUAGUCGAUUCCCCUAGGUCGCGGGUAGAGAGCAAGGAGUCCGCUCGGCAACAUGCGGGCCAAGAUAAAUGAUCAUCACUCGCAAGAGUACAAAAUCCGGCUUA